This 497-nucleotide ribosomal RNA is filed under the name uncultured bacterium. RNAcentral's name for it is "partial 16S ribosomal RNA". It matches the Rfam family "Bacterial small subunit ribosomal RNA", at positions 28 to 507 of the family's 1533-position model. The record is from RNAcentral.
GAUGAACGCUGGCGGCGUGCCUAAUACAUGCAAGUCGAGCGAACAGACGAGGAGCUUGCUCCUCUGACGUUAGCGGCGGACGGGUGAGUAACACGUGGAUAACCUACCUAUAAGACUGGGAUAACUUCGGGAAACCGGAGCUAAUACCGGAUAAUAUAUUGAACCGCAUGGUUCAAUAGUGAAAGACGGUUUUGCUGUCACUUAUAGAUGGAUCCGCGCCGCAUUAGCUAGUUGGUAAGGUAACGGCUUACCAAGGCAACGAUGCGUAGCCGACCUGAGAGGGUGGUCGGCCACAAUGGAGCUGAGACACGGACCAGACUCCUACGGGAGGCAGCAGUAGGGAAUCGGCCGCAAUGGGCGAGAGCCUGACGGAGCAACGCCGCGUGAGAGAUGAAGGUCUUCGGAUCGGAAAACUCUGUUAUGAGGGAAGAACAAAUGUGUAAGUAACUAUGCACGUCUUGACGGUACCUAAUCAGAAAGCCACGGCUAACUACGUG